This 253-nucleotide ribosomal RNA is filed under the name uncultured bacterium. RNAcentral describes it as "partial 16S ribosomal RNA". It matches the Rfam family "Bacterial small subunit ribosomal RNA", at positions 524 to 776 of the family's 1533-position model. The record is from RNAcentral.
UACGGAGGGAGCUAGCGUUGUUCGGAAUCACUGGGCGUAAAGCGCACGUAGGCGGCUUUCUAAGUCGGGGGUGAAAUCCUGGAGCUCAACUCCAGAACUGCCUUCGAUACUGGAGAGCUUGAGUCCGGGAGAGGUGAGUGGAACUGCGAGUGUAGAGGUGAAAUUCGUAGAUAUUCGCAAGAACACCAGUGGCGAAGGCGGCUCACUGGCCCGGUACUGACGCUGAGGUGCGAAAGCGUGGGGAGCAAACAGG